GACAGAGGGUGCAAACGUUGUUCGGAAUUACUGGGCGUAAAGCGAGUGUAGGCGGUUCGGUAAGUCGGAUGUGAAAGCCCCGGGCUCAACCCGGGAAGUGCACUCGAUACUGCCGAGCUAGAGUAUCGGAGAGGUUGGUGGAAUUCUCGGUGUAGAGGUGAAAUUCGUAGAUAUCGGGAGGAACACCGGUGGCGAAGGCGGCGAUCUGGGUCGAUACUGACGCUGAGGUGCGAAAGCGUGGGGAGCAAACAGG
This 253-nucleotide ribosomal RNA is filed under the name uncultured bacterium. RNAcentral's name for it is "partial 16S ribosomal RNA". It matches the Rfam family "Bacterial small subunit ribosomal RNA", at positions 524 to 776 of the family's 1533-position model. The record is from RNAcentral.